GAUUGUGUUGUUCUCUUUUUCAUUCUGUGCUUUUUCUCUCUCAAAUCUUCGGCGACCAGGUGCGGUUUUGCGCUUUACUCAUUCUUUGGUCUUAGUCUUCUUGGUUUGAACCUUUGAUUUUGUAGUUGCAGGUGUUGUUGCUGGUGGCGCUUUCUUAGUUUCUGCUUUGUCGUUGCUUAGGUUUAUUCUGACGGCGACGUAUACCGUAUUCCUCGGUGUUCUUGCCCGUGGAGUUUUCUUAAUUAAUGGUGUAUUUGAUACUUCUUUUCUCUACGUGUUUAUAUGAUUAGGUUUACAAGCUCUUAUCCCUGGUUUAAAAUUUGAUUGACGAAACUUGAUAAAUGUUCUUCGUGUUAGUUUAGCAUAUCCUUGCUUAGUUUUUUAGUGAUCUCUUGAGAACAAAAGAAUGCCUUCAAUUUUUUUUAUCCCUUAUUACACAAAUGGGGCUGGUAAAGACUCUUCUAUUACAAAUUGAACAAGAGCACCAUUCAAGGGCAACCGAUUAAGUGGAGAUGGAUUGUAAAAUAGGAUUAAAUUCCUAUAAAAGUUAACUAUCAGAUAUGAAGGGUCGUUCAUGACAGAAUACCAACAAAGGCACCGUUAAUGAAGAGAGGCUCGAGCAAUUUAGAAGACGGUUAGACUGCCGCAUAUGGUUGAAUAGAACACAUUUUUGUUGGCUACCAUCUAGUGAAAUUCACUAGGGCUUUAGUAACAAAUUGGUGCAUACUACAUUAUCUCAGAUUAAAGCAACAUAUUCAAGGUCUAAUCAAAACAGAGGAUAGAGGAUGGGUGUCUUAAGGCUAAAAGGAAGGUAAUCUCAGCUAUAUUCUUAACUUCAAUAUGGGUGCUUUGGCUCAAAAGGAACAAAAAAAGAUUUCAAAGGGAAAUAGGUUUAUAUUCAAAAUGUAAUUGAGGACAUUAAGGCUCUAUGUUCCUCUUGGUUACAAACAUAUCGUCUCUACAAAACAUUUCUCGGGAGUAACGGUGUGCGUUUUAUUUUGAUGUAUACUUUUUAGGUGAUGAGUUCUUUAUGGAUGUUUUGGUGUUAUAUUUAGGGUUCUCUUUCGGUGACUCUGGCGAGUACCGACGCUGUAACGAAUCAGACGGAUACCGAGCUUCUAUGAUAUAUGGAUGUCAAC
Molecule: long non-coding RNA, 1139 nt
Organism: Helianthus annuus (common sunflower)
Lineage: Eukaryota; Viridiplantae; Streptophyta; Magnoliopsida; Asterales; Asteraceae
Exons: 3
Source: RefSeq, a predicted model, not a curated record